Molecule: long non-coding RNA, 1508 nt
Filed under: Bemisia tabaci
Lineage: Eukaryota; Metazoa; Arthropoda; Insecta; Hemiptera; Aleyrodidae
Description: lncRNA ENSSSA2NGG002328
Source: RNAcentral
AUCAGUUGUAGGUCACAUAGCACACAUAGAUUUCACUCAAAAAUUGCUAAAAACAUCAGCAGUGCGAAAAAUGACGUACAAAGCCACAAAGAAGUCACUUCUUGUUUUGGUAUUAAACAUCGUACUUAUUUACUGGUAAGAAUAAUGCAUGAACAUAAUUCAAAUUCAUUGAAAAACAAACAUGAAGAAAUGAUCAGAUGCAUGUGAUGUAUUCUAGCCUUGUUCACCUAUUUUCUUGAGUUCGUUUGUCUUAUUUACUAAUCUUUAAAUGAAUAUUAAGAGCAUAUAAUAAUUUUCUAUCGCCAAUUUUCAGCAACAAAUUCAAUUUUAGAUGAACAUUGGCUCUUUCACUCACAAGCCCUUCAAGAAUGCAUUUUAAUUUGCUGUCAAACAAGUAAAGGCGGCUUCUGUGAUAAACCCAAAGUACCUGCUGAUGUAUAUCACACGUGUAAUACUCUCUGUGGCCUUUCAUUAGCCCAAUAUGAGCCCCUUUCAGAGUCUGCUGAGUAUCCAAUCGUAAGUUUUUUUCUAAAUUCUUGUAGUUCAUAGUUUAUAGUUGAAAUAAUAAGUUAAUGCUGAUCUUCGUAAUUAACUUACUGACUAAUUACACAGAUUUGUAACUUUAGCCUGUUCAAUCAGGUUUGUGUACAGUUUCACAUCAAACCGAGUGUUUCUCUAGGAACUUAAACAUUGUCUAAAAUGACACUUGCUAAAGAAGCACCACUAAGGGCGAUUCCUGUCAAAUCAUUCAACUAGUAGUUGACUGUCUGUUAAGGUUCAACUAGAGGUUGGUGUGUCUUGUCAAUUUACAACUACUGGUUGAAAGGCUGUUAACGGGCUGAUUUUCAACUGGUGCUUUUUCUGCCUGUUAGGUUUCAACUAGGACUUCAGACAAAACAUUCGUUCCGGUUCUUCGCGUUUCACUGGUUCACAAAGAGCCUGAUUUAACUACCUGGGCUCGGUUUGCGGACCUCGCCACACAGUGGGACGAAAAGGUGUCAAAACGGGACAUUCGCACAUUAGACGAUAAUUUUUCGCCGAUCUUCUCAAAACUUGACAUUUUCGGUCUUUUUGGGAAAAGGAAUCCAAUAUUAUGCUCAGUAUUCGAUUCAUAGUGACAAUCCCGCCAAAAAAUGAUGUUGCCAAGUCUCUGUUUUAAUCUAUUUGAUAAACAGAUUAGCAUGAUUAUGGUAGAGAUUUAACGCGCGUGUCGUUUGCUUUUUUUCGUUGAAAAAGAAAAUGAAUUCACUUAUCCUGGAUUGAGAAAUGCUUUUAUUAAGAAUAAACACCCCCCCCCCCCCCCACCAUCCUCUUACCUCCCGCAAAAACCGCAACGAUAAUUGACUAUAGGGGAUGAGUUCAUCAAUGGGCAGACAUUAAAGUGAAUCCGAAAAUCACAAACGAAUAAGUUGCUCCCAAAUAUUAUCAUUCUUUGACACAGAUGCUGUUUUUUCCGUUUUUUUUCAAGGAUUUUUCUUCUUCCGUUUUUGAGCGCCAUUUUCUAAAAU